RNAcentral lists this long non-coding RNA (2366 nucleotides) under Equus asinus (donkey). RNAcentral describes it as "lncRNA (ENSEASG00005037365.1)". Lineage: Eukaryota; Metazoa; Chordata; Mammalia; Perissodactyla; Equidae. The record is from RNAcentral.
CCUAGCGGAAAGAAGCCAGACACACAAAGUCACAGGCUGUGUGAUUCCAUUUGCAUGAAGUGUCCGGAGGUGGCAAAUCCAGAGACACAGAUAGCAGACUGGUGGUUUCCAGAGAAGGAUGGAGAAUGACUGCUCAUGGGCACAGCGUUUCCUUUUAGGGUGACGAAGAUGUUCUGGAACUAGGUGGGGUGACGGCUGCACAACAUUGCAAAUGUGCUACAUGUCACGAAUGUAACUUUUACAUUGCGCUUAUUUCGCCACAAUAAAAAAAGUUAAAGCAAAAAGAAAGAGAUGGGCAAGACUAAACUACCGUGAAUAAGGAUGCCCAGCGGGUGAUACAAUCAUAAGAAGCAAAACGCAAGGAAAUGGUUCCUGUCAAUGUCAGGAUGAUGAUUACUUAUUGUACUUGGGGACGUGGAGGGGCUUCUGAGAUGACUAACAAAAGUCUAUGACUGGACCUGGAUGGUUCGGAAAACAAAGGCAGAGAGAGAAAAGUGUUCCAGCAGCUUUAGACAGGAGGCUGUAAUGCACAUUUUGUUCACUGCCUCUUUUCGUUCCUAUGUACAUGUAUUUGUUCCCAGCCUUGUCCCAGGAAAGAGUGAAAGGAGUCAAGCAAGGACAGAAGCACAUCAAGAUUGUUCUGGUCUUAUAUGUCAGUCGGGUUCCUACGUGAUAGUAUUUGGCAGAAAAAGAGGCCUUUUCCCCAAAUGUGCAGACGUUCUAAUGAGACCAAAUCGUGCAACUGCCAUCACUCGAAAACCAGAGAUUACAUCUUCCUCUCCCGCAACGUUUUUGUUUUCGUUUUUUGGGGUUUUUUGGUGAGGAAGAUUGGCCCUGAGCUAACAUCUGUGCCCAUCUUCCUCCAUUUUAUAUGUGGGAUGCCACCACAGCAUGGCUUGAUGAGCAGUGUGUAGGUCCAUGCCUGGGAUGUGAACCUGCAAACCUCGAGCCACCAAAGCAAAACACGCGAACUUAGCCACUAUGCCACCGGCCUGGCCUCUUUCCCUCAACAUUUUUAAAUCUCACUUCUUUAUCAUGAGCCGGGUUGGAAUGACUCCUUAGAUGUGAAGAUGCAUCUUACAGAUAUGGGUGAAGCACGUGGUAUUAUGUUUUAGUUUUUGAGUAUUUGAAGUUUUAGGGCCAAAAUAGUCUUGGGCCAUCAGUCAGGGAAACGUGUAAAAUGUGGGCCAAUUAAACUGAGAUGAAAAUGGGCUAACGUGAGAAUUUCAAAAGCAACAGGAAACCUUAUAUGGGAAGAAUUUGCAUUCACGUGCACAGACGCCAAGGAUACGGAGGAAAAAAGCACAGACAGUCUCGCUGAGGUAGGACAGUCGAAACUAUGAAGUAAAGAGACUUACUAAGGAGAUGUGUGUAGUUAUUUAGAAAUCCUUGGACUUCCACUCCAGGGAAGAUGCAGUAGGUCUACAUGUCCCGAUUCCUCCACUAAAUGCAACUGAAAACCUUGGGCAGUGCGUACGAACCCAACACAAGGAGGCACUGAAAGGUGGGCAGAAGGCAAGCCUGCUCUCGACAAAAGGCCCAGGAGAGGAACAGCUCAAGGAAAUUGCAACUAAAGGACCCUGGGAAAUGGGUUGAGAUCUUUGGUUCUGAGAAACCUUCAAGGGACUAGAAGUGUUUUUCACUUGAAGGUUUAGCUUCCUAUUUCUUUUCAAACCUGGAGUCCAUUUCCCUUUGACUCAGGACUCCAGGGAGCAAACAAAAGAGGAAACAGGAAAUCACAAUCAGAAUCUUCUGGAAGGAAUGGGAUAUAAAAGAGAAGUGUGUUCCCAUGACAUUGAGGUUGCUCUGGUGUGUGGAAGGCAAUAGGGGGAAUGUGGUACCCACUCACCAAAUUCUCCUGGAGUGGAAUGGACAGAGCUAGAAGUUUCUUUAAACAGUCAUUCCAGCCAACUGUGGAUGACACGUAAGGAGGUCCUAGAGGCCACAGAUCUCAGGCCGAGUUGAAACGGACUCUGCAGGCAUCAAAUGCAAAAUUAUUUUAGCAGGAGAAAGGAUAGGUGGCCCUCAGGGCUCUGCAGAGUCCUGCAGACACCAGCAGGAGGCAGCACCAUGCGUGGUCUCCUAGCCAGCCUCUUCAGGCGUCCCCUUCCAGACUUCCUCUUCCUUGUCUGUUGAGCAGACUCACCAGUCUGUCUGUGCAAAUGUGUGUGUGCGGUUCUUAAUCACAAUUCACCUGCAAACCUGUUAGUGGCACAGAUGAUGGUGGAGGCAGCAAAGGAUGCUCCUCUAGGACCUCUUAUCACCCCUGCAGGGGGACCUGUCAGGAAGGGAUGGUGUAAGGCAAGGCAUCCCCCACAUCCUCCUUAGAGAUGCUAAGGUCCCCAAGCAUUUGAAACCCUAUCAGC